GUGCCAAAUUAUUUGAGAGCUGCCCUAGAAGCAUAUGAGCGUACAGAAAAAUAUUGAACGCAUUCAGAACCAUGGUAAAACUGUGUUUCUUUUGGCUUUUUCUUUCAUUAUACACCAUCAUAAACGCAGGAUCUCAUUCUCUGUUGGCAUUCGCAACUUGUAUCUCAGGAGAAGCACCUUUCCCUGAGUGUAGUGUUGUGUUGAUGCAGGAUGACAUUCAAGUUGGCUACUUUGACUCCAACACGGAGCAGUUUAUUCACAAGGGACCUUACGCCCCAGACGAAACAGAGGUUGACGUAGCCCAAGAUGCAGCUAAUGUGUUUGGACACAUGUUCCUCAGCAUGAAAAGACGACUGUCAGACCUGAGGUAUCACUUUAAUUCCACAGGGAAUAUAGAUGUUCAGCAGAGAAUGGCUGGCUGUGAGAUGUUGGAUACUGGUGAACCAGGCCUUAUUCUGUCCACAGAUGCUUUCAAUGCAAUUUUAGCUGAUUUAAUAUAUUACAACAUGACACAUUAUUCAUACAAUUCCGGAAACCUACUGUCGCCAUGGAGUGAGGUGCAUCAAACAUAUGUAAAAUGGCAUUAUCAGACCAUUUACCUUCCCAUUUGCAUAAAAACAUUGAAGAAAUUUCGGGAGAGAUUGAAGAACUUUGCGAUGCGUAAAGUGCGUCCCAGAGUCAGGCUCACAGGAGCCCGUGUGAGCUGUCUGGCGUUUGGUUUUUACCCCCGCCACAUCAAUCUGACCCUGCUGAGAGACGGCCAGCCAAUAGUAGAACAGGACAUGACUGGGGGCCAGUUGCUGCCCAAUGGAGAUGGGACCUACCAGCUGAGAAAGAGUCUGGAGGUCAACAUAGAGGAGCUGAGUGAGAGACACAACUAUACCUGCACCACCUCCCACCUCAGUCUGGACAACAAGCUGGAUGUCAGCUGGAUACCUGAGUCUGGGAUCGACAGAGUGGGUCUUUAUGUCAAGUCAGGUCCACUGGGCAUGGUGGCCAUAAUUAUUCUACUCAGUAUUUUGGUUUGUGUAAGGAGGAGAAACGCAGCUGGCUCCCAGACAUCGUCACAGCUCUCCAAUGCUAAUGAUGCCCAAGUGGCUGAGCAAAUGAGCCUAUCUUCACAUUCUGAGACCUGAUAUAUUUGCUGCUGCCACUCAUGCAAAGACUUCAAAGUGAAAAGCCAAUACAAUGAAGGCUGAUCUAAAUUAUACAGUAUAUAUCCUAAUAAAGACACGUAUUUUUAUGAUGCAGUGGUGUAUAAGCAAUCCUAAAAUGUGUACUGACAGUACUAUGACGUAUGUAUUGAUUUGAUAUGUAAAAAAGUGUUUUGUUCUGCAUUAAAGAUCCAUGAAAAAAUCAUCAUGACACAAAAAGAUCAUUGGAGUUUGGUUAAGUACAAAUGAGGAGCAGGAAAUCUUACCCUAGAACAAAAACAGAAUAUCAGAAAUACUGUUUUUUUUAUUUCUUUUACCUUUAUUUAACCAGGUAGGCAAGUUGAGAUCAAGUUCUCAUUUACAAUUGCGACCUUAUCUUGCUUAUCACACCGUAUUUCACAUCAGAUACCAUAGGAUAUGAAUAUUCGGUCAGAUUCUUGAUGUACUGUAUUUUAUUAGAGGGGCAGCAGACAUCGGCCAGCUCCAGGGGCUGCAACUCUACUUCACACCACAUGGUGUCGCUCCAAAUUACAAUUAGCCCUCUACCAGAAACUCAAUUAGGUUGCCGGAUUUAUGUGUAAUUCCAGUUCCCAGUCCAUUCUGACAUAGACUACACAAAGAUAUUGAAAGGGGAUAUCGCACAGAGACAGUAGUCUAUUUUAUGAAUACAUGUCAUGCUAUGAUAGGCUACAAGAUGAAACUUUUUUUUAAACUUAUGAAUGAGACUUAUUAACAAUUCUUGAAUAAGAUCGGCAUUGUCCACAUUUCAAAUAAUACAUAGUUAAAUAAAUUGUUAAUUAGUUUAAUUAGUUAAAAAUGUUUUACCACAUUCUGUUCAAAAACUGCCCAGUGAUAGAAGACGGAAAUAUCAGGGUCAGGGAUAUAAAUAAAACGUAAAAGUAUAACACGUACUGUAUGCCCGGUAAGCAUUACAUCUCUGACCGCUUAGAGACACACACAAGUUGUUUACAAACACAUAGCUACCGGGGAUGACGCCAGCCAGCGGAGCAUCAUCCUAGGAAUAGAAAACGGUCAAUGAUAGGCCUUUACCGUAAAAUCAUGCACAGUGCGUUUUCUCAAUUCAAUUCAAGGUGCUUUAUUGACAUGGGAAACAUAUGUUAACAUUGCCAAAGCAAGUGAAGUAGAUAAUAUACAAAAGUGAAAUAAACAAUAAAAAUGAACAAACAUUACACUCACUAAGAAUUUCUCUCUCCCUUUCCCUAUCUCUCCCUCCUCUCUCUCUCUCCCGCCUCCUCCGAGUCACCGCCCCGGCUGUGGGACGGGGAGACUUUAAAACCAGUCUUGAGACGCCGGACACUGUCAGAGGGACAGCGCUUUGCUUUAGCAGACUAGUAGCGGACAGAGCGCGCAGAGUGCAAACACGUUGUUAUUGGAGAUACCCGCGGAGUUUACUUCGUCCCGAACAAGUUCAUUAUACUGGAUACUUUUGAGAUUCACAAGACACGAAAAAUGAAGUCUCCAAAGUUGAAGUCUCAAGGCAAAUCUACAUUCCUUGAGGAGGAUGAUCUGUCUGACGUGCUGUGUGAGUUCGACGCGGUGAUCGAGGAUUUCACUUCCCCGAUUGAGAAGAGACAUUUCCAGUACGACGAGCACCUGAAGACCGUGAAGAGACGGAGCAGUGCCAGCGUCAGUGACAGUGGCAUCAGCGACUCAGAAAGCGCUGGGUCGCUCAACAGGAACAGCUUCAGUUUCAGUGAUGAGAGACUGAACUCUCCCAAUGUCUUUUCUCCCUCUCCCACCUCCCCCCCACCUCUCACAUCACCCAGAGCCAAACUGGGAGACACUAAAGAACUGGAGGACUUCAUUGCUGACCUUGACAAGACGUUAGCAAGCAUGUGACACGGAGCCGAAGAGAAGUGGCAGAGACCAUUUUUUGGAGAGUAGCCAUCGCGAGGAGGGGACACCCUGUCCAGCACCCCAGAACAUGCACACACACACACCAGGAGUGCUGUGAACAUAGCACAGGGACAGUCAUAGUGACCGUCAGACUUGCUGAGCAACUUCAUCUCAAGUCUGUGUCCCAAUAUUAUAAGACAGCGUCAUCUCCUUGUCUCCUUUCCUUCUCGUCGUCUCAUUUCCCUCAUGAUCUGAGCUGAUUGGACUGGAUUGUUUUUUCUAGGUUUGCAGGGUAAGAAUGGGCUAAUCUGAAAUGGAACCUCGUGUUCUAUUGCACUAUAUGGCAUAGAGUGAUAUUUCUUACGCAGCCCAAGUUUAUAAACUAUUAGCAGUCAUGGAAGAGAGGAGACUAGGGGAGGAGAUUAAGAAGGAGACAAGGAAAGGAAGCUUUGUAAAAGUAUUGGGACACUGUUAGACAGACAAACACCAUCUCACAUACAUGGGACAGGCUGUGCGUCCUUUAUACAUAACUUGAGCUGGAAGAGUAUUUAAGAAAUGUCUUUUUACAAUAUAAGUAUAUUUGUAAUUGUAUAGAGCUGGUCAUUGUAAAUGUAUCAAUACUACUUUUUUUGUGAAAUAUAUUUUUGUAUCUAUGUGUAAAUACUAAUUGUUUCAAAUUCUAUUGCCUUGGUAUUAAAAAGUGUAUGAUAAGUUUAAGGUUUGGCACACGUUGACUGAAGUUGAGAUGUUUGAUAUUUCUAACGAAUGCAAACUAAAAUCUGGAUUAGCUCUGAAAAACUGGAAUGCAACAAAAUGUAUUGAAUACAGCUAAUAUCAAUUGCCUACCAGAGAAUAUUAAAAUUAAAUAUUGUUUUAAAAUA
Molecule: RNA transcript, 3892 nt
Organism: Oncorhynchus kisutch (coho salmon)
Lineage: Eukaryota; Metazoa; Chordata; Actinopteri; Salmoniformes; Salmonidae
Gene: rgcc
Gene name: regulator of cell cycle
Exons: 6
Source: RefSeq, a predicted model, not a curated record